Molecule: ribosomal RNA, 423 nt
Filed under: uncultured bacterium
Lineage: Bacteria
Description: partial 16S ribosomal RNA
Rfam family: Bacterial small subunit ribosomal RNA
Source: RNAcentral
GAAUCUUCCACAAUGGACGAAAGUCUGAUGGAGCAAUGCCGCGUGAGUGAAGAAGGUUUUCGGAUCGUAAAACUCUGUUGUGAGGGAAGAACAAGUAUGAGAGGAACUGCUCGUACCUUGAAGGUACCUCAUUAGAAAGCAACGGCUAACUACGUGCGAGCAGCCGCGGUAAUACGGAGGUGGCAAGCGUUGUCCGGAAUUAUUUGGCGUAAAGCACACGCAGGCUGUCCUUUAAGUCUGAUGUGACAUCCCACGGCUCAACCGUGGAAGGUCAUUGGAAACUGGGGGACUUGAGUACAGAAGAGGAAAGCGGAAUUCCAAGUGUAGCGGUGAAAUGCGUAGAGAUUUGGAGGAACACCAGUGGCGAAGGCGGCUUUCUGGGCUGUAACUGACGCUGAGGCGCGAAAGCGUGGGGAGCAAACA